UUUAUUUUAUUUUUUGUCCUUAUGCUUCAUUUUCAUGGGUUCCCUUCUCUUUCUGAAUGUCUUUUUGUAGGUAGUUCUAGAUAGGGUGUAAAUGGUGGAUGCCAAUACUAGACCUGUGCAGUUUUGUCUUAUUUUUGUUCCAUUUUCACCCUCCUAAAUAAGUAUAAAUAAGGAUUACUGGUUGUGUAUUUUUUUCAUUGCAGGAACUCUUUGUUAUCACUGCAAAUGGGAUUCUUCUCCAUUGCGCAUUUAUCUGAGUCGAAAAUGAGCUUCAGUAGCUCUGCUGAAGGUCUAAUUAAUUCUUAUUCUCCUUUUAAUUUGUAUGUACUCUUAGCUGUUUAAGCUAUGAUCUUUCAUAAAUUAAGGAAAAACGUUUAGCCCAAUUUUAAAUUGACCUUCGAAUUUAUUAGUUAGCCAAACAUCUUGAAGGGCAUUUGAGUUUGGAAGGACUAAUGUUGUCAGGCCAAGAGGGAGACACGAAGCUACAAUCGUUUGGCUUCAUGGCCUUGGUGAUAGAGGCUCAAGGUAUAACAAUCUGCUUCAGUCAUAUAACAAAUGGAGCUUGCAGUUUUUUGUUUCUUGAUUGAUAAGGAGUCCCGAAGCACUUAUCAUUAAUUAUAUUCCUAUUGAAAUGCAUGAAAGAAUCUACUUGCAAUUGCUAGUAUUGGAAUGCGGAAGCGGAAUUAAUUAGAAAUUAAAAUUUUCUUUAAUUCAAUAAGUAAGAUCGUCUAGAUGUUCACGUGUAUGUUAUAACAAAAUUAAAGGAUUCGAAUCUUUUAGCUAAGUUCAAUGAUCAACCUUGAAUAAACUCUGAUCCGCGAACUUCCAUCUCCUUUAAUUACAAGGAUUUUGGUGCUUCAAACCUUCAAAUCUUCUAUAGUAUUCUCCAACGCAAAGACUACAUUGGUGUGUGGACACUUUCUUUUAAUUAAUUUAGAAACUAAUUCUUGAAUUUUGGACAACAAGUAAAUAAUAUAUUUUCUCUCUACAAAUUUUAAUCUUAUGGAAUUAUGAAUGUUGUAAAAAUUUUCUAUCCAUCUAGUCUCUAUUUAUAGAGAAAAAGAUGAUAAAAUUUUAGUACAAUUAUAAUUCCACAUUCAAACAAGAGUUCUAAUUAAAACUCAACUAAGAGAGUUCCAAUUUAAAUCCAAUUCUAAUUAGUUUACAUUUAAUUGCACGUGUAGUUCUAGAACUUCAAUUACAAUUACAAUUAAGUUUAUAACUUUCAUAGUAAUUACAACCAAGUACAAAACUUUAUUGUAAUUACAAUUAAGCCCAAAACUAUUAUAAUUACCGUAAUUAAGUUCCGAUACUUUAUGGAGCUAUCACAGGGGCCUGAUCGGACAUAUAUUUUUCAAGCUCCAAUAAUUAGAUCCUGUCUAGUUGACCCUAGACCACCCAAUCUAAUUAUUAACCCUUUGCUUUUUCCACUAAAGGCAAAAGACUGAACCAUUGGAAUAUAUAAGAUCACAGAAGCCAAUAAAUCUGUAAUACUUUCCUCUGACCUGUUGUAUAUGUAUUUUAUCCCCGUCUGAGAUACGAUAAUUAGGUACGAGCAUAAAUGACCGUUUUACUCCUCUAAUUAUUCUCACUAAAUUAAAUUUCAUUUUCUUCGACGGUCCUGUGAACAAAUCACAGAUGUUGAAGUUUAGUCGUCGCUAAACAAUGAGCUCAGGUUUUAACCGUUCAAGAGAAAAUACUUAAGUAAUCACUUUACUCAUUUUCAGGUUGAUGGUUCCCGACACGAAUUCAUGUUCUCUACUCCGCUAAUUCUCAAGUUUCCAACUCAUCAAGAUAUUUGACCAAUCAAAUUGAUCUCACCCAUUGAUGAAUCAAAAAACCAAAAAAAUUACGAAAAGAUAUACAUAAUUUUGUCAGUGGAUUCAGAUGAAAUACACAGUGAUCAAGUGGAAUUCAAUUCUCCACACGGUUAUGCUAUAGAAUUAAAUUCAACACGUGGUCCGUUCAAUACACUCCAAGUGUACUAGUAUCACCUUUAACUAUCUCUGUGUUAAGGACAAAUCACAAACAUGAAUAGUGAAUCGGUCAACACUAAAACCUUCCAAUCCAAGGUGUCAACCCUUACUUUGGUUAUAAACAAAUUAUUUAUGAUCAAAAUAUAACUUGCGUCUCACUGUACUUCUCAACGUAAGUACCCAACUCAUAUUAUCCCAACGCAAGUAUCCAACUCAUAUUUAUGAUCACGAGCACUUGAAUUUCGCAUGCUCAAUAGAUAAAUACAAUAAAUAGAGUAAACAUAAUUUUAUUCAAUAUAAAAAUUAUUAUUGUUAUUUUUUUACAUUAGCAAAAUUAUACUAUAUGGGCACACAACCCAACAACUAGAUGGUGUUUGGCUAUAAUGAAUGCGACUCCAUUGGAACUUCAACUUCAUUGAUGUGAUUGUGGUUGGAAGGUUUAUUGUUUGCUCAGAUUUAGUUACUUUCAACUUCACUUCAUACCUCACAUUCAAGUGGCAUAUUCAUCUCAUUUAAUCACAUUCAGGUGAACUUACAGACUUAACCAGUGCAGCAUAUGAAAUUUUCUUAAAUUUCUCUAAAUUACUCACUAAUAAAACUUGAAUUUGUUUAAUUAAUAUAUUAAUAAAAAAAUAUUUUUAAAACAUAAUUUGCCAACACAGUGGAACAAUAACAGCCUCUUGACGAGCAACUUUUUUUUAUCUGCACUCCCAUUGAAUUAUUGGAACUCAAAAGAGAGAUUGAAAAUAUAAAUAGAAAUGAAAAAGUUUACCUUUUCUUAAAAACUUAGAUCACAAAUUUGUCGUGUAAGUGAGUUCACUAUGCUUUCCAAUGGCUCAUUUAUAUUUAGACUUCUUAGCAUCCAAUUCUACGUUCCAUAACAUUACCUCAAAAAAUGAAGCUGUCUACCGAAAAAGACAAUUGACAGUGGUAGAUUUGUCAUUGAUGCACCAAUGAAUUCUUCGAGAAUGUCGUUGAAACUGGAAACCCUUUGUAAUACUCGCCAACAGAAAAGAAACCAAUUUUGUAAUACAAUUUUGACAGAUUAAGAAGAUACUUCCAAUAACUGGAAAUCUUGUCGUGACAACCAAACUAUGCAACUUUUUCAUCUUAUAUAAACAAGCCCAUAACCAAGGAAUUAAUCAAUAGCACCCCAAAUUAUUUUAUCCAGUCUCUUUUUCAUGGCUUCACCACCACCAUUUGCACUUCCUCCUAAUCUGGUUCCCGACGAGGCCAACCCUUCAUGGAUGAGCAAAGGCGACAACGCUUGGCAACUAACCGCGGCUACACUAGUCGGCUUACAGAGCGUGCCGGGCCUUAUCAUCUUAUACGGCGGCGCUGUAAAGAAGAAAUGGGCUGUGAAUUCAGCUUUCAUGGCCCUAUAUGCUUUUGCAUGCGUUCUUGUUUGUUGGGUUUGCUGGGGAUACAGACUUUCUUUCGGGGAUGAACUGAUCCCCGUUUGGGGCAAGAUUAAUGUGGCAUUAUCUCAACAUUAUUUACUUGAAAAAGGAUUUGCCGGCAAGUUUCCAAAUGCAACAAUGGUGUUUUUCCAGUUUGUUUUCGCAGCAAUUACGUUGAUUUUAAUUGCUGGUGCUGUACUGGGAAGAAUGAAUUUUUAUGCUUGGAUGCUGUUUGUUCCUCUGUGGCUUACUUUUUCUUACACCGUUGGAGCUUACACUAUUUGGUCUCUUAAUGGGUGGCUGGCGGUGAAGGGGAUGAUAGAUUAUUCCGGCGGUUAUGUUAUCCAUUUGUCCUCUGGAGUUGCUGGUUUCACGGCUGCAUAUUGGGUACGUAUGGAAACUUGAUGAUCAAGUGUUGAAUCACCUCAUCUAAAAAGCUCAUAUUUGUUUAAUUUUCAAUUCAAAUCCUUCCACGUGUAGGGUAAGCUAAUUUUUCAACACAUACCGUUCAUGUGGAGAACAUUUUUAAAUGAGUUACAACCGUACUUUAACUGAGUACUUUUGUUGGCUAUGAUGCCACUUUACACUAUUUUAUUUAAAAACUUGAGAUAUUUGAAAGGAAACGCGUCCAUAACAGGUUAUAUUCAUCUUUCCUUUUCCUUCAAAAGCACUGGUAACGGUUAGGUAUGUGAUUUUCAGGUCGGUCCUCGUUUGGCAAAGGACAGGGAAAGAUUUCCACCAAACAACAUCCUGCUAAUGUUGGCUGGGGCAGGACUAUUGUGGAUGGGAUGGACUGGAUUCAAUGGAGGAGACCCUUAUGCUGCUAAUAUUGAUGCAUCCUUGGCUGUUUUGAACACUCAUGUUUGUGCUGCUACAAGUUUAUUAACCUGGCUUAUUCUUGAUGUUCUGGUUUUUGGAAAAGCUUCUGUAAUUGGAGCUGUUCAAGGCAUGAUCACUGGUUUAGUUUGCAUCACUCCAGCUGCAGGUAAUUCAUUUCUCGAAGCCGUCAAACCCUGUUUGAUCAAUAGCUUUCGAACACAGUAGUUCAAUGUGUCAUUGGAACACAUAAAAGUCUUAUAUUCAUGUUAAAGGACCUUUGAAGCCCCUCUAAAUUUUUAGAUGAUUCUCUCUAUAAAUAUAGUCCUGGUUGGAGUAAAUUAAAAUCAGAUUGUUAGUAGAUUUUAAUAAAAAUUAAUGAAAUGUGUGGUUGAAAAAUUGUGGGAUUAUAAAAUGUGUGGUUAAAAUUAAUUGUUGAUUUUAAUUGAGAUUUUAAUCCAUAUAAAAAAGGAGCUUUGAUUAGAUAGUUCAAUAUAAUAUAUUGAAGGUCCCAAAUUCUUAAAAAUCUGGUUCAUAUGUGAGAAGGCGAGUUAAAGUUGUACUAAUGUUCUUAGACGAGGUAAUUCAACAAACCGCACGUACCUCCAAGUUAAUUUUUCAUCAAAUGAUAGGCUUAAUGUAAUCAUAUAAAAACCAAAUUUAAGCAAUUUUGAAUAAGAAAUCAUGAUUUUCUUGAUAUAAAUGCGAGUGCAUGUGUAUAGGUGUUGUACAUGGAUGGGCAGCCAUAAUAAUGGGAAUUUGCUCGGGCUCAAUUCCAUGGUUCACAAUGAUGGUGGUACACAAGAAAUCUGAGCUUCUUCAAAAAGUCGACGACACGAUGGCGGUGUUCCACACGCAUGCCGUUGCCGGAUCCCUCGGAGGACUUCUCACCGGUUUAUUUGCAGACCCUAAAUUAUGCAAUUUGUUCUAUGCAAAGUAUGGCCAAUAUGUUGGCCUAUUCUAUGGCUUCCACAUGAAAGACUACAGCAAUGGUUUCAGACAAGUAGGACUUCAACUUCUUGGGAUGGUGUUUGUAAUAGUUUUUAACAUUAUAAGUACAAGUAUAAUAUGUCUUCUAGUACGAUUCGUCGUGCCUUUAAGGAUGACCGAGGAAGAUAUGGAGGUUGGGGAUGAAGCUGCUCAUGGCGAGGAAGCUUAUGCCAUUUGGGGCCAAGGCGAAAGGAGUGAAAAUUCACGAUUCUCAACCUAUAACGAUAUGGAAACCGGCGCAUCAAAGUCCAAGGAUCAUGUUGAAAUGACAUCAACGACGUCUUAUUAGAAGAUUUCAAUCAAGGUCUCGGACUUCGUUAAAAUUAAUGUUGUUAAAGUACUGAUCACACGUCUUUUCUUAUUUUUAUUCUCUUUGACAUUGACAUGGAAAGAAUGUCCCUUUCGCUUUAUUUUACCAAUUUCAUUGUCUGAAAGUUCAAUGUAAGUGCAGGAUGCAUGCUACGUACUCUUUAGGAUGUAAUCUAGGAAAGGUUGAAAAUAAAAUGCACUUAUUUGAACUUAUUUGAACUUAAGUGAUUACUCGUUUAUGGUUAAUUUUGAUUAUUCUAGUUUCUUGCAAUGCUAAAAGGUAGAAAUUUUUAUUUAAAACAGUACACGUGUGCUAUACGUUGAUACAUAAAUAAUUUAUAGAAAUUGUGUAUUAUUUCAAAGAACGAAAAGAUAACAAUACAAGUUCUAGAGAAUAAAGCUAACGAUUUCAAUUGACUUUGAUUUAUCUAGCCAAAUCGACUUUGAUUUAUCUAGCCUUAUCUAGUAGAACCGGUUCAUCAUGGGCCGGGAGGGCACCCAAACAAUUGUUUCACCAAACGUGAUCACACCUCCACCGAAGUAUUUUAACGAUUCAAAGGAAAACCUCUCGGCUCAACACUUUCCAACAGACAACAACAACGAUAUAGGGAGCUUCAACAUGGAUUCUUAUUGUAGCAAGAGCUCGAAAUACUGUCACUAAAUCACUAGUGAUUAAAAUCGUUAAAACUCCUACACUAACUUGUCUACGUUUGGUGAUAGAGUGCAAUAUGAGAAAGAAAUACUCAACUUUAAUCUUUAUUGACAUCAACUUUACUUGUCUCUGAAAGUUAGGAACCAACUCGAACAAUAAGUGAGAGACUGACUAUGCGCUGCUUAUAUGAAUUUUUUUGACAAAAUAUUUCAUGACUUUAUAGACGUAUACAUGGCCCUGUAAAUAUUAUUUUUUUGACUAGUGCACUAUUAGAAAUUUUAAGCAUCCGAAUAAGAAAUUACAGGUUUUAAAUUAGCACUUUUAUAACUAAUAAUAAAAAUUUAUAUAAAAGAAUUCAGCUCUGGGACUCGCCUUAUUGUUCCAAUAGUCACUGAAUCAAAACACGUAUAUAAAGAUAAUAAGCGGCUAUUUUCCCCCAGUUGUUUCCCUUUUUUACUUUAAUCAAAAUUUAUAUAAAAGAAUUCAGCUCUGGGACUCGCCUUAUUGUUCCAAUAGUCACUGAAUCAAUACACGUAUAUAAAGAUAAUAAGCGGCUAUUUUCCCCCAGUUGUUUCCCUUUUUUACUUUAAUGCCCUUGAUCUGGAAGUUCAAUUGAUGAAAUUGCUUCACAUAAUUGAAGAUAUUUUAGUGCAAUUCAUCAAUACACGUUGUUACUGUGAAAUAUUUGAUGUACUUUCAUUCUCAUUUUUAAACUCCAAAGUUGGGUGCAUAAGUUCAGCAACGUCAUACAAGAGCUCAAUGAAUGUCGCGUUUUACCCGGAAGGAUCGAACCAUGGGAACGAUAUCAAACUUACCUUUUUUUUUCCCGUUAAAAAUAGAUUAUUUUUAAAAUAAGUAACUUUUUUACGUCAUGACUUAAAUAAAAAUUAAGAGACGGGAAAACAUGGGGAGACAAACAGUGAAGUAGGAAAUGAAAAGCCUAUUCACUUUUUGGUUCGUUCAACUCUGGAAUCCCAAGUCCAGGUUUGGUGCAUAAAAGCUUUAACCCCACUUAUCUUUCACACCUGUAAAUUCAUUAUUAUUUCCAUUUCUAUCAGAUCUUUCCUACAAAUGCUGCACACGCUUUUCUUUUCUUUUCUUUUUUACCAAAUAUGCCUUUGAAAUUCAAGAAUUUUUCUAAUAUCAAAUGGGAGAGGCAUUUUUUGUGUGUGAAUGUAUAUAAAUUUAAUUCUUUUGAAGAAUGUUAGUAUUCUAUUGUUUUCUUGAAAUAUUAUUGGGUUAAAUGGUUGAAAGUUCGUUCUUUUUCCAUUUUGUCCACUAGAAAAUUGAUUCUUUGAAUGUGCAUUAUAAGACCAAAGACCGACUCUUUUUGGCUCGAGGGUCAUUACUGAAUUUAUGUGUUUAUUGAUGUGUGUGGAUUCUAUGUGCUCAUAAAGAUUAUGGCUUUAUUUAUUUUAUUUUUUGUCCUUAUGCUUCAUUUUCAUGGGUUCCUUUCUCUUUCUGAAUGUCUUUUUGUAGGUAGUUCUAGAUGGGGUGUAAAUGGUGGAUGCCAAUACUAGACCUGUGCAGUUUUGUCUUAUUUUUGUUCCAUUUUCGCCCUCCUUAAUAAGUAUAAAUAAGGAUUACUGGUUGUGUAUUUUCUUCAUUGCAGGAACUCUUUGUUCUCACUGCAAGUGGGAUUCUUCUCCAUUGCGCAUUUAUCUGAG
This 7810-nucleotide long non-coding RNA is filed under the name Olea europaea (common olive). RNAcentral describes it as "long non-coding RNA (OEUR_LNC011672)". The record is from RNAcentral. Lineage: Eukaryota; Viridiplantae; Streptophyta; Magnoliopsida; Lamiales; Oleaceae.